This is a long non-coding RNA of Gossypium raimondii (Peruvian cotton), 1335 nucleotides long. RefSeq lists it as uncharacterized. Lineage: Eukaryota; Viridiplantae; Streptophyta; Magnoliopsida; Malvales; Malvaceae. The transcript is spliced from 3 exons. The record is from RefSeq and is a predicted model, not a curated record.
UAUUCCCUCUGCAGCUGUAAUAGGUAUUCAGGGGUGGGGGCAACGAAUUGGUAUUCACUGUUUACUAAUUUCUUCUCCCCAAAAUUUCAGACCAAAAUAUCCUGCUUUCUUCUCCCCAAAAAGUUUGCUCCAGAUUUCAUAUCCCCAAAUCAAGUAUCGAUUCGCCUUCAUCUUCAUCUCCCCAAAGCGACUGACAAACAAUAGAGGGAAGGGAGGUAAUCUUUUUUUAUAGUCAUCAAGCUUCAUCCUCUCCGACGUUUCCCUUCCAUUGAUUGCAGAGCUCAUGGUGACAAUUUUGCUGUGAAAAGAAUGAGAAAGCUGACCCAAAGGAGAGCUGUUGAUUAUACUAGUACUGUUGUGCGAUAUAUGCAGGUAUUUUUUUCAUGUUUAGUUGUUUUCAUAAGCGUUUUUUUUCUAUAUCUUUCUAUAAGUUGUUGCAUGGUCAGAUUGGUGAAUUUGAUUAACAUGGAUGCUUAUGUUUGUUCUUAGAUGGCUUAAAUGUCUCUUCAUUAUUGUGGUUGUUGGCCUUCUCUUUAUCAAUAUGGGCAUUGAUUUCUCUAUCAUAGAAAUCAGUUUGCUUUUUAAUUCUGUAGCCUUUUGCUCAAGUUUAUUAUUCAAUGUACUUGGCAGCUAUAUUUUAAAGUUUAUAAAGCUCUGUAGCACUAUUAUAGCCAUAAUUGUAUCUUUAUGAUAGCUUAACUUAUGGAGUUGUUUUUCAGAUUGCUGCUGGAAAAUCCAUUAAUAUAGAGGCAAAAUGACUUGGUCUUGCUUGCCAUUGAUGUAUGGUGUUAAGAUGUUCUUUUUUUGCUUCAUGGGAAAAAUAUUAAUAAGUUGAUGUCUUUUUAUGUCAUAUUUUUCCUAGUUGCUAAGAGUAGCUCCUCUUUAUCAUAGUUUGGACCAAUGCCAAUUGACUUUGUGUUCAUCACUAUUCAGUUCAUGAUUCAUGAGUAGAACCGAUCAUUACACCCAUAAUCCUUGUUCGUGCUUAGGGGUGUAAUGGUUUAUAUCCUUAGGAUGAAGGUGAGAAGGUCUUUAUUUUGUUUGAAUACAUUUUCUCCUCUAUUGAUAUUAAAUGCAAUUUUUUCCCUUUUGAAUCUCAAAUGAUGUUGACGUCUUUAUAUCUAAUAGCAGUGGUUUUGCAAAUUCGAAUGUCACAGCAAGAUUCACGGGACAGGACAACAUUGUAGAUUCGAAUGUUCUAACUUUUUGAUGUUGUAAAACUGUAUAACAUAUGGAUUAUGACAUAGAAUUUCAUGAAAUUCAUGUAACAUUUUGUUAAUAUAUGAAUAUUAUGUUUAUGCAAAAUAUAAUUCUCAAGUUAUUUAUUACUGCUAA